This 391-nucleotide unclassified non-coding RNA is filed under the name soil metagenome. RNAcentral describes it as "partial contains 5.8S ribosomal RNA, internal transcribed spacer 2, and large subunit ribosomal RNA". The stretch from base 1 to 122 matches the Rfam family "5.8S ribosomal RNA", at positions 35 to 154 of the family's 154-position model. The record is from RNAcentral.
GAUGAAGAACGCAGCGAAAUGCGAUACUUGGUGUGAAUUGCAGAAUCCCGUGAACCAUCGAGUCUUUGAACGCAAGUUGCGCCCGAAGCCAUUAGGCCGAGGGCACGCCUGCCUGGGCGUCACACGUCGUUGCCCCCCCAUCUACUCCUUCGGGAUUGCGGGGGGCGGAUGAUGGCCUCUCGUGCGCCUCGUCGCGCGGUUGGCCUAAAUGCCAAGUCCUCGGCGACGCACGCCACGACAAUCGGUGGUUGCGAAACCUCGGUUGCCUGUCGUGUGCGGUCGUCGCGCAUCGAGGGCUCGAAAAAAUUGCCGGGCUUCGGCUCGACUUUCAACGCGACCCCAGGUCAGGCGGGGUUACCCGCUGAAUUUAAGCAUAUCAAUAAGCGGAGUA